ACCAUGUUUCUCUCCCACUUCUCCAAGAUACGUAUGAAAAUGUUGAGCUAAAUUAGGCUUUAUAAAUAAGCUGAUAGGGAAAAGACUUAACUUGUGUUUUUCUCCCUUACAGAUUUUAUGAUAGGGGAAAGCUAAUUUUCAGAUAGCUUAAAAACUACAGGAAAAAAAAACCUUAAAAAAAAUCCAGCUACUCCUGAAUGGAUGUUCCUCACUCAGGUUUUCAACAAUCAUCUGAAACAGAGGAAGCUUCCAGUUCCUUCAGCACUGGAGAACAUCUAAUGGUAACAGUCCUGCACACCAAAUAUAAUGAAUUUCAAAUGCAGCUUAUAAAACUUCCUCUGCCUGGGUUCGUUGAACUGCAUGGACUUGCCAUGGUAGAAGGAGAUAUGUUUAGUC
This 396-nucleotide long non-coding RNA is filed under the name Struthio camelus australis. Its description in RNAcentral is "lncRNA (ENSSCUG00000003934.1)". Lineage: Eukaryota; Metazoa; Chordata; Aves; Struthioniformes; Struthionidae. The record is from RNAcentral.